Molecule: ribosomal RNA, 499 nt
Filed under: uncultured bacterium
Lineage: Bacteria
Description: partial 16S ribosomal RNA
Rfam family: Bacterial small subunit ribosomal RNA
Source: RNAcentral
ACUCAAAUGAAUUGACGGGGGCCCGCACAAGCAGUGGAUUAUGUGGUUUAAUUCGAAGCAACGCGCAGAACCUUACCAAGGUUUGAAAUCCGACAAACUUGCCUGAAAGGGUGAGGUGCUCUUCGGAGAAUGUCGAGACAGGUGCUGCAUGGCUGUCGUCAGCUCGUGUCGUGAGAUGUUGGGUUAAGUCUCGCAACGAGCGCAACCCCUAUUUUUAGUUGCCAGCAUUAAGUUGGGCACUCUAGAAAGACUGCCUGGGUUAACCAGGAGGAAGGUGGGGAUGACGUCAAGUCCUCAUGGCCCUUAUACCUUGGGCUACACACGUAAUACAAUGGUCGGUACAGAGGGAAGCGAACUCGCGAGGGGGAGCCAAUCUCAAAAAGCCGAUCUCAGUCCGGAUUGGAGUCUGAAACUCGACUCCAUGAAGUUGGAAUUGCUAGUAAUCGCAGAUCAGCACGCUGCGGUGAAUACGUUCCCGGGCCUUGCACACACCGCCCGU